GUGACGGGUACACUGUGGGGACCCGCCGCUGCUAAAGCGGAGGAAGGAAUGGGCAACGGUAGGUCAGUAUGCCCCGAAUAUCCCGGGCUACACGCGAGCUACAAUGGUUGGUACAAGUGGGUAUCUACCCCGAAGGGACGGGAAUCUCCUAAAACCAAUCUUAGUUCGGAUUGAGGGCUGCAACUCGCCCUCAUGAAGCUGGAAUCCGUAGUAAUCGCGUUUCAACAGAACGCGGUGAAUACGUCCCUGCUCCUU
Molecule: ribosomal RNA, 255 nt
Filed under: uncultured Methanosaeta sp.
Lineage: Archaea; Methanobacteriati; Methanobacteriota; Methanomicrobia; Methanotrichales; Methanotrichaceae
Description: partial 16S ribosomal RNA
Rfam family: Archaeal small subunit ribosomal RNA
Source: RNAcentral